CUCUACGCAGAAUAUGAGGAGAAGUCCACUCCAAAGGCUUUCUUCAUUGCAACUUGAAAUGCUGAUAUGUUGACAGAAGGAUUAGUAAAAACAUUACCCACCAAGAUAAGACGACAAUCGUGCAGUUUGGCCGAGGAAGGAAGAUCAUCCCAGACCUCCAGCUCCUGUUCGAGCAUAGUUGACCCAGGCGACUGCAUAGAGAAGCAAUUCUGGAGAUCGGCUACAUGCAAAGCUGGAAAAAUCAGAAGUGAAGAGAUAAUGAGGAAAAACUCGAACGAGAAUAAGGUGAGGACUGGAAGUAUAGGAAGAAGAUGUGCAUGCAGAAGAGUGAAAGAAGAACGGAUACAAUUAAGGUAGAAGUAGCGACGAGCUCCGAAAGUGCAAAA
Eucalyptus grandis is the source of this 386-nucleotide long non-coding RNA. RefSeq lists it as uncharacterized. The transcript is spliced from 3 exons. NCBI's taxonomy places the organism in Eukaryota, Viridiplantae, Streptophyta, Magnoliopsida, Myrtales, Myrtaceae. The record is from RefSeq and is a predicted model, not a curated record.